GGAAUUGGUUGGGAAUUACUUUGGGUUUGAGGUGGGUCAUGAUCGUUGAUUUGGCUUGAACAUGUUCUCGAGCCCAAUGUCAUUUAAUUCUUACUAAACUGCUUCAGAUUGGACUCAACCAGAUCAGACCGUGACUUAAUAAAAGGGUUAAUCAAAUAUUUUCCUAUACAAUUAUAACUUUCAAUCAAAUCAGGACCAAAGCCCAUUUAGUUAUAACCUUAGUCGGGUCAACACAAUCUCCUUAUAUGUUUUUCUGUAGUUUUCAUUAAAGAUUGCAAUCAAGAGAG
Molecule: long non-coding RNA, 287 nt
Filed under: Phoenix dactylifera (date palm)
Lineage: Eukaryota; Viridiplantae; Streptophyta; Magnoliopsida; Arecales; Arecaceae
Description: long non-coding RNA (PDAC_LNC013716)
Source: RNAcentral